RNAcentral lists this small RNA (872 nucleotides) under Pan troglodytes (chimpanzee). Its description in RNAcentral is "retained intron". Lineage: Eukaryota; Metazoa; Chordata; Mammalia; Primates; Hominidae. The record is from RNAcentral.
UAGAUUAGAGUGGGUUCAAGAGAAAAAUCACAGGCGGGAAUUGGAGACAGUGAGGGUAGAUAACCCUGUCUAGGGGCUUCUCUGUAAAAGGAAGGAGAGAAGUGAAGCAGUUGCUAGAGUGAGAUUCUCAAAGGUAUCUGUGACACAUAAAAGAUUAAGAAGCACUGCAUUGGGAGGAUGCUGAAGGUUCAUCAAUAGAAGGAAAUUCAGAGUGGAUCCCAGACAGUGCCAGAACCAGGCUCAAGACUUCUGACUUCUCGCCCUGCCCUGCUCCAGGAGAGUCCUCCAGAAGUUUUUAUAGAAGGCAUUUUCCAACCAAGCUAUAAAAGUGGGAAGCUACACACUUUGGAGAACUUGCUAGAAUCCAUUGAUCCAACCUUGGAGAGCUGGGGAAAGUACUUGAUUGCUGCCUGCCAACAUUUACAGAAGAAGAACUACUACCACAUUCUGUAUGAGCUGCAGCAGUUUAUGAAGGACCAAGUUCGGGCCGCCAUGACCUGUAUUCGGUUCUUCAGUCACAAAGCAAAGUCAUAUACAGAACUGGGAGAGAAGCUCUCAUGGCUACUUAAGGCCAAGGACCACCUGAAGAUCUACCUCCAAGAAACAUCCCGCAGCUCUGGAAGGAAGAAAACCACAUUCUUCAGAAAGAAGAUGACUGCAGCUGAUGUGUCAAGGCACAUGAACACACUUCAGCUGCAGAUGGAAGUGACCAGGUUCUUGCAUCGGUGUGAAAGUGCUGGGACCUCUCAAAUCACCACUUUGCCUCUGCCAACCCUGUUUGGAAAUAACCACGUGAAAAUGGAUGUUGCCUGCAAGGUCAUGCUGGGAGGGAAAAAUGUAGAAGAUGGUUUUGGAAUUGCUUUCCGUGUUCU